UACGUAGGGGGCGAGCGUUGUCCGGAUUUAUUGGGCGUAAAGAGCUCGUAGGCGGUCUGUCGCGUCGGAUGUGAAAAUCCAGGGCUCAACCCUGGACCUGCAUUCGAUACGGGCAGACUAGAGUUCGGCAGGGGAGACUGGAAUUCCUGGUGUAGCGGUGAAAUGCGCAGAUAUCAGGAGGAACACCGGUGGCGAAGGCGGGUCUCUGGGCCGAUACUGACGCUGAUGCGCGAAAGCGUGGGGAGCAAACAGG
RNAcentral lists this ribosomal RNA (253 nucleotides) under uncultured bacterium. Its description in RNAcentral is "partial 16S ribosomal RNA". It matches the Rfam family "Bacterial small subunit ribosomal RNA", at positions 524 to 776 of the family's 1533-position model. The record is from RNAcentral.